AGCUGGUCCAAAGGUAAUGAGUUUUCUCAAUUGAGUGUUCACCGUCAGUUACAGAUCAAACUUGCUCUACUCUUUCCCCCUUCUCACUACUACACUUGACUAGUCUUAA
Cercocebus atys (sooty mangabey) is the source of this 109-nucleotide unclassified non-coding RNA. It matches the Rfam family "Y RNA". Rfam says of the family: Y RNAs are components of the Ro ribonucleoprotein particle (Ro RNP), in association with Ro60 and La proteins. The Y RNAs and Ro60 and La proteins are well conserved, but the function of the Ro RNP is not known. Lineage: Eukaryota; Metazoa; Chordata; Mammalia; Primates; Cercopithecidae. The record is from Ensembl.